This is a long non-coding RNA of Musa acuminata AAA Group (dessert banana), 977 nucleotides long. RefSeq lists it as uncharacterized. NCBI's taxonomy places the organism in Eukaryota, Viridiplantae, Streptophyta, Magnoliopsida, Zingiberales, Musaceae. The record is from RefSeq and is a predicted model, not a curated record. The transcript has 3 exons.
ACUACGGAGGGGGGGAGUAGGCAAGGCAUUGCGUCGGAGCCCGAGAUUUCGGUGGAAUCACAGGAGAAGCUGCCGCUCCAAAUCGGUGGCAAGGCCACCUGGAUCUGGAUCUCGGCCGACCACGCAUCGCCGGGAGGCUCAGUGCUGCUGCUAGAGACAACGCGGGAGGCAGGAAUCUCGCCUCCUGACCGGCAUCAGAUGGUGAUUUCAUCGGGGUUCCCUAUAGGUGCCAGAGCAAGGGCGAGGAGCCAAACCAUGCACCUGCAAGCCUUUCUGAUAUAGUAGGGAUAUAAAUGUUCAAGCCUUCCAUCAGUUGGCACGGAUGGCACUGUGCUUGGAGACUUUUCAUCGUUCCUCAGCUUAAAGUAGGGGGGUGCAUCUUGACCACUUUUCUAUAUGGAUGAUUUCCUCCUCCUGCAAGGGCUGUUGGGGCUUUUUAUUGCCAUUGUUUUUUGGUUUCUUCGGAAGGUGCGAAACAAUAAGCUAUUCGACAAUGCUUGUGUCUCUACCACUUCCUCUCCUUUGCAUGAUGAGUGCUAUUUCUGAGGAGCAGUCCGGGAGUGCAUUAGAUUCUUGGUUAAAUGGAAUUCUCCACUCGGUUGGGCCAAGUUAAUGGAGGCUGUGUUUUAUGUGGUUGCAGGAGAUUAAGCAACCACAAUAUGAGGUAUUAAAGAGGGCAUUCAGGCUGCUUUUGGAAUUGGGAUUCAAGUGCUAUUCCACGUUGAGCCUGAUUCCAUGGCUAUGGUGGAUUGUCUUUACAAAAGGAGCCUUCUCAAAUACACUGCUGCAAAUGUUAUCAACGUUAGGUUAUCCAUCUUUCGUGAGGGUAAUUGUCCUGCUAACUAGCUUACAAACCACACGAGCUGUCGUCAAUUUUUGUACUUGGUCAUCCGGUUUGUAGUGAUGCGAAUGGAGAUACGUGUAGUAGACAUGCUUAAUCCUCCUUAAUACAAGCUCUACUUUUUAUUGGAAGAAAA